AUGUUCUCAAAAAAUAAAACAGUUUGACAUCAGUUAAGUGUUGCCAGGGAUAUAAAACAUUCAGAGCUCUCAUUUUCCUUUCUAUUUUGCUUCAACCACCUGGAAAACCAAAUUUUCCAUAUUUAGUCAUAUUGAAAAUAUGUAUACUCUGUGACCUAAUAUCUGUAGGUCAGGGUUGGCGUGAUAAUUCAUGUGUUAAAAAAGGUUUUUAACAUUUUAAGAUGAUUUUUAAAAAUAAAAAUACUUCAUAAUGUGUAAUAUGAAAAUUACAUGAGAUUCAAAUUUCAUUGUCCUUAAAGUUCUAUUGAGAUAGUGUCACAAUUACUUGUUUAUGUAUCAUUUAUGGUUGUUUUUGUAUUACAACACCACAUUUGAGUGGUUGCAAUAGAGAUCUUAGGUCCCACAGAGCCUAAAAUGUUUACUGUCCGGACCUUUUCAGAAAAAGUUUGCUGACACCUGCCCUAAAUAAAUAUGCUUGCAUAUUUGUGCCAGGGAACAUGUUCAGGAAUGUUAAUAGCAAUACUGCUUGUAAUAAUACAAACCUAGAAAUGAUCACAUGUCUGUUAGGCAUGGAAUGGAUAAACUGGUAAGCCUCAUAAUGUAAAAUUGUAUAAGCCAGUGGAAUACUAUACAGUAGUGAAAAUGAACUGACUGCAACUACUUCCAGCAUACUAUUGGGUCUCAGGAACAUAGUAUCAGAAGAAAAACAAGUGUAGAGUUUUUCCAUUUAUAAGCAAUUCAGAAACAAACAAAUGUAAACAAGUGUUGUUGUUUUUUAAAGGAUAUCAAUGAAGUAAAACUCAGGAAAAGGAUAAAUUCAGAAUAGAGGUUGUCUUUGAGGAGUUGGUGAAGAGAUGGUAUUGGAGAGGGAACUUUAAAGGUCAUGUUCUUGUUUUUAAAUUGAGUGGUGGAUAUGUGUGUGUUUUGGUGUGAUCCUUUAUUUCUGUGAUUCAUUCUGCAUCUACUUUUGAUAUUUGAUAUGUUUUUGUGAUUUGGGGCAUUAAAAAAAGUAUGUUUUCAAAUAGUGCAGUCAUAACAUAUAAUUGUUUAUGACUAGUAGAGGGUGACCUCUCCAGUGGACUAGAACCUGCUUAAGUCUCCUCUGCCAUCUGCCAUGUCCCAGGCAUGUGUCAGGAACCCAAUUCUCAAACACUCAUAAGCAGAAAAGGGAAUUAAUAGAAGGAUUCUCUUUAAUUCCAAAUACCUUAGGGUUUUUUGGUGGUGUGUGUAUGUGUGCAUGCGUGUUUUGUUGUCUUUUUAGGGCCACACCUGUGGCAUAUGGAAGUUUCCAGGCUAGGGGUUGAAUUGGAGCUGCAGUUACCAGCCUGUGUCACAGCUGCAGCAAUGUGAGUUCCAAGCUAUAUCUGUGAUUACACCACAGCCCACAGCAAUGCCAGAUCCUUAACCCACUGAGCGAGGCCAGGAAUUGAACCUGCCUCCUCAUGGACUCUAGUCAGAUUCAUUUCUGCUGAGACAUGACGGGAACUCCCCUCUGUGAUUUUUUAAUUUGUUUAUUUUCUCAGAACAGUGGAAACAGUAUGAGGAAUAAGAAAAAAAUAAUUAUUUAGCCCAGGAAAAUAGAUCAACCUUUGGAAAACUUGGCAUAUGACAUGUAGGGUAGAAACAGAAGUUUACUGAUAAAAUUGAUCACUAUGCUUUGACAUUAAUUCUGAUUUUGUAAGUUCUAAAAUAAAUUAAGUAGUUAAUGCAUUUCACACGGAAGGUUUUAAUCUAUUGUGGUUGAGACAAAAGAACUGAGCUUUUAAUGACUGAUAUGUGUCAUUUGAGGAAAUAUACAAGUUUUUCUCCUAAAAUUGAAAGUACUUCUUUGAAGGAUAUUCACCUCUCCUGUAUUUAUUUUUAAAGUUAUUGAGGCUGAAUUUAUGUACAGUAAAAUUUACCCUUUUAGGUGUAAUCAUACCAGGGUGGACAGAUGGAUGUAAUCUUAUGACCAUCACCACAAGCAAGAAAUGGAAUGUUUUCAUAACUGCAAGUUCCUUCAUGCUCCUCUAACGGCAAUGCCCUGUUUCUCCACAGCCCCUGGCAACCACUGAUCUGAUUUCUGUCUCAUACAAAGGGAAUCAUACAGUAUAUGAUAUACAGCCUUUUGUGACUGACCACUUUGACUCAGCCAGAGCUUUUAAGAUGCAUCAGUAUUAUUGCAUAUAAGAGUUCUUUUUUAUUGCCGUAUUUCUGGGUAGUAAUAUUUCACCAUUUAGCAUACCACACUUUGUUUAUACAUUCACCAGAUGAUGGAUAGGUCCAGUGGCAGCAAUUCCACUUGGUAGUUUUCUUUUUUCCUUUAGCUGUUUGUAUUGGUGCAUAGUGGUAUUUCAUUGUGAUCUUAAUUUGCAGUUCCUGGAGUUCCUGUUGUGGCUCAGUGGAAAUGAACCUGACCAGUAUCCAUGAGGAUGCAGGUUCCAUCCCUGGCCUUGCUCAGUGGGUUAAGGUUCUGGUGUUGCUGAGAGCUGUGAUGUGGUCGCAGAUGUGGCUUGGAUUCUGCAUUGCUGUGGCUGUGAUAUAGUUCAGAUUCAACCCCUAGCCUAGGAACUUCCAAAGGCUGCCGGUGCAGCCCUGGGGGAAAAAAAAAUGUAAUUAAUUUUCAGUUCCUAAUAGCCAGCAAUGUUGAACAUUUUUCUAUGUGCUCAUUUGCCAUUGGUAUCACCGUUUUGGUGAAGCAACAGUUCAAACCUUUUGUCCAUUUUGUUAUUAGGAUUUUUUAAAAAUUGUAUUUAGAGUACUCUUUAUAUAUUCUGGGUACAAGUAACUUGUAAGAUAUGUAAUUUGUAAAUAUUCUCCCCCCCCCAAUCUAUGACUUCAGUUUUUUUUAACUGAAAGAGCAGAUUUUAAUUAUGAAGUCUGACGUAUCAGUGUUUUUUAAUAAUUUGUGGAUUUUAUUGUUACUAUUUGAGGAAUCUCUAAUGUAAAGCCUCAAAGAUUUCUGCCUCUCCUUUAUCCUCCUGCUUUCUCCAUACCACUCUUUUUCCAAAUAAAGUCACACCCACUUCAUUUCUUUCUCAAUUUUAGAAUCUAAUUGUGCUUCCUUGGAAAAAUUAAAUAGGAAUGGGUACAAAGCUAUAAAGAUUUACAUUCAAGUGUUCUGGGCUAUAAGCAGUGAAAAAAACACAAUC
This 3131-nucleotide long non-coding RNA is filed under the name Sus scrofa (pig). Its description in RNAcentral is "lncRNA (ENSSSCG00040038831.1)". The record is from RNAcentral. Lineage: Eukaryota; Metazoa; Chordata; Mammalia; Artiodactyla; Suidae.